Molecule: ribosomal RNA, 836 nt
Filed under: uncultured Sulfurovum sp.
Lineage: Bacteria; Pseudomonadati; Campylobacterota; Epsilonproteobacteria; Campylobacterales; Sulfurovaceae
Description: bacterial SSU rRNA
Rfam family: Bacterial small subunit ribosomal RNA
Source: RNAcentral
UACGGAGGGUGCAAGCGUUACUCGGAAUCACUGGGCGUAAAGCGCGCGCAGGCGGCUAGAUAAGUUGGAAGUGAAAUCCUAUGGCUCAACCAUAGAACUGCUUCCAAAACUGUUUAGCUAGAGUCUGGGAGGGGAAGAUGGAAUUAGUAGUGUAGGGGUAAAAUCCGUAGAGAUUACUAGGAAUACCAAAAGCGAAGGCGAUCUUCUGGAACAGUACUGACGCUGAGGCGCGAAAGCGUGGGGAGCAAACAGGAUUAGAUACCCUGGUAGUCCACGCCCUAAACGAUGAAUGUUAGUCGUCGGGACUCUAGUAGUUUCGGUGAUGCAGUUAACACAUUAAACAUUCCGCCUGGGGAGUACGGUCGCAAGAUUAAAACUCAAAGGAAUAGACGGGGACCCGCACAAGUGGUGGAGCAUGUGGUUUAAUUCGAAGAUACGCGAAGAACCUUACCUAGCCUUGACAUAUUUUAGAACUCCGCAGAGAUGUAGAGGUGCCUUCGGGAGCUAAUAUACAGGUGCUGCACGGCUGUCGUCAGCUCGUGUCGUGAGAUGUUGGGUUAAGUCCCGCAACGAGCGCAACCCUCGUUCUUAGUUACUAACGGUUCGGCCGAGGACUCUAAGAAGACUGCCUUCGUAAGGAGGAGGAAGGUGAGGACGACGUCAAGUCAUCAUGGCCCUUACGGCUAGGGCAACACACGUGCUACAAUGGUUAGGACAAUGAGACGCAAUACCGCGAGGUGGAGCAAAUCUAUAAACCUAAUCUCAGUUCGGAUUGUAGUCUGCAACUCGACUACAUGAAGCUGGAAUCACUAGUAAUCGUAGAUCAGCUAUGCUAC